This is a long non-coding RNA of Sander lucioperca (pikeperch), 1338 nucleotides long. RefSeq lists it as uncharacterized. The transcript has 5 exons. Lineage: Eukaryota; Metazoa; Chordata; Actinopteri; Perciformes; Percidae. The record is from RefSeq and is a predicted model, not a curated record.
UUGGGCAGAAGAAGGCCCUCAUUUCAUGGUGACAGCUCUGAUGAGGAAUAUCUUCCACCAAUUUCUUUGCGAAUGGGUGGUGCACUGAAGGCAGCACAGGUAAUUGAUAAUCUGCCAACUAUCAGGAUUGCUGAGACUGUGCACGACCUGCCUGCCCCUGAAGUCCCUUCUGAUGAGCCCUUGAGUCUUAAGCUGCCAAUUUUGCCAGGCCCUCAGAAGGUCCUCAGGGAGGAUGACAUUGUUGGCGUCAGAGCAGCAGUGCUCUAUGAGAACUGCUUGAGGCAGCUUGUCACAUUUUUAACUCUGCCCGUUGACAGAUGCACUGGUGUCUUGAGGACUGGUUUGGUUUGUGACAGUGUUGCCCCCUUUGCAACAAACAUCGCCAUCAGGGGCAUUGCAAUGAGCGUUGAAUGGAUAAGCCUUGACAGUCACAUCAGAAUGUAUGGUAACACACAGCACUGUAUAUGCCUUGUGAAUUUAUUAGGCUACUCUUAUCUGACCAUUAUAUCUGCCCCAAUGGACAUUGCCAAUGGCGGUGGAACUCCCAGCCUGUGUUGAAGUUUGGCAUGCAGGCUGGGGACUUUCUUCUUUCCACAAACAUCUUACUCUCUGGAAACAACUACACUAAAGUUGCUCUCCUCUUCAAAUUCAUGAACAUGCGAAUGGUCAACCCUAACACACACUUCACCAUCCAGAACACCUAUUGUGUUGACGCUGUUAAAGAAUUCUGAGAAGAUAUCAGCCGACUUCAAGGGAAAGAUGUUGUGCUCCUAGGUGAUGGCAGAAAUGACUCACCAGGGCAUUCUGCACAAUACUGCAGCUACACGACCAUGGAGCUUGACUCUAAGGAAAUCGUCUAUGUGGCCACUAUAGACAAGCGGCAGACCAACUGGAACUCCAAUAUCAUGGAGAAGGAGGGUUUUAUCCAGACUGUGGACAAGCUUACCCAAGACAUAAAGGUAGUGGAGUUCUGCACGGACUCAUGUCCAGAUUGGAGCCCUUUUAAACCCAGACAAAGGCAGAUAUAAGGAUCUGAGAAUUCACCACAGCCUGGACAUGUGGCAUAGUGCCAAAAAUCUGUCCAAAAAGAUCUCUACCUCUUAGGAAGAAGUACAACAAAAAUGCAAGAAGAUAUAGCCUUUACGCCUUAAAGUGUGAGAAAUCAUAUGGUUACAUCCCUAAGUUGCAAGCACGCAUCUUAAAAGGGAGAGUCACAAGCGGAGUUGGGAUGCCGCGAUGGAGGACCCUACGCCCGGAUGACACAAGGCGGCUUGGUGGUGUGCCCCCGAUACCUCCACCACCGACAUCAGAGUUGGUACGGACACAGGUCAGCAGAGG